RNAcentral lists this unclassified non-coding RNA (2475 nucleotides) under Hevea brasiliensis (rubber tree). Lineage: Eukaryota; Viridiplantae; Streptophyta; Magnoliopsida; Malpighiales; Euphorbiaceae. The record is from RNAcentral.
GAAUUCUCAUGUUGUAAAUGAUUUAUCAUAAAGAAAAUUUAAAAUUAGCUCUGAUCAAUGGCACAUUUUUAAUAUACUUAGGCUCAAUUGACAUCAAACAAAUACUUUCUGAACUAAAUAAAAAUUUAAGGCAGAGGAUAGGAUUGAUAGUCUGGUAGAAUGAAAAGACACAUAGUUCAAAGUAUUUCAGAUGAUUAAGCGAUAAGGAUGAAAUUAAAUAAUAAUCACAAUACUAAGUAAAAUUUUACAUAAUCAUUCAAUAUACUUUCACUAGCCAUUCCUGCAUGUUCAGAUGAUUUUAUUAUCUUUUUUGGUAUAUAUACUUUUUAUGUGGCAACCCUAUUAGCUUGUGCAGUCAUGGAUCUUUAUUGGUAACAGGGUUAGCAGCUGUGCUGGUCAACGGCAGCCGCGAGGAGCAAACCCAAUUCUUGAAGCGGGGAUGUCAUAAGCAAUGCUAUAUGUCUGUUGUUGAUGAUUUCCAAUAAUUGCAAUUUGGUUGCUACUCGCAAAGGCCAAACAAGUGACACCCUUAUCAGCUUCUAACAAGAUGUUUGGGGCUCCAAGAGAGAGGUCUGCGCCUCCUUGAAAAAUCAUUUGAAUCCCAGGCGUAGCCGACAGGCUCUUGAGACUUCCCUUGAAGCAUGUGUCCAGUAUGGAAUAUCCAGGGGCUUGUGCGUAUCUCUUGGACAUGAGCUUUACGAAAGCCUCCUUAAGUGGAGCAUAAAUGGACAUUGGCAGUCGCGUGAUAACAGUUCCAGAGUCUAUGAUGGUGGGGACCUGGUAACCAGCAGGGGCCACUCCCAGAGGCCUACCACCGACGGUAAUUGCUGCCAGCCUCAAAAAGUAUAAGCUGGGAUUCUGGGGGUUUCUGAUCAUUGGGGUGAACUUGUAGGGCGAUGGAGAAAUGUUUCCAAUGGACAAGAAGCCCCCUCCAGAAGAGAUAGAAGUGGCUGUGGGAAGGCAAUAGGAGAAGGCAUAUCCGUACUUGGUAGACAACUGGCCUAACAUUGAUAGCUUGUCACGGGCUAGCCCUAUAAUACCUGCUGCUCUACCAAAUAACCCCUCGUUGUCCUCCCCGCAUCCGUAGGUGAACUGGGGCAAGGUCUGUGUUGGUGUUAAGGUCAGUAGAUCUUGACUCAAGUAGCCCAUUGAGUAAGAUGCAUCACCAUAGCUGGCUGUGUACACGCAUGCACCAUUAGCGGCACAAACAGGGUCAUUCAAAGUGGCGGCCUUCAGAGAAGAGCACUGAGGGGUGGCACAUGAUAGCCUCUUGUAGGUCUUAGAUGCAGAGGGUUCAAACAGAGGAUCUACCUGGCUAUGACAGUAUACAACACAAGGCUGACACUGAAGCCAGGAGAGGGAGCUACCUGUGUCGAUGAUCAUGGCAUAGUAUUUGGGAGGGGAACCGAGGCCUAACUUCACAUAGUAAUUAGCAGAGCCGAUAGACAAACCAGGACUCAAUGGGACGCUGGCAGAAUUUGGUUCCAGGAGAUGUCCGGAUUUGUGGUGUGGGACCGAGGCAUUCCGUACACUUCCCUUCACUAGUCUGUGUCUAAGAUACUUUACACGUUCUUCAUCAUGCGUGAGUACAUCACUGAGAGAUGUGGAAGAAUUGGGAGAGAGAGAGGAGCCAGGUCCAUGGACAUGGAAUAAGUUGAGCUGUAUGCUAGACUGACUGGCUGAUGACUUAUAUUCUGCAAAAUUUUCAUUUAUUAUACCAAGUCCAUUUUUAAAGAUGUGCAAUAUUUAUACCAACAAAUAAUAUUCACAUAAACUUGGAAAGCUUAUACAGAAAAGAGAAAAUUACAUGCCUUGAAGUUCUGCCAGAGAUGUUGCAAGGAGAUAGAAAGUAAGAAACCAGGCCAGCGCCAUCUCAGGGAUUUUUCUUGCUUUUGCUCUCCCUUAAUUAUAUAAAAGAAAAAGCAGCAGCUCAGAGACACUGGAGAAGAUAAUAAAGGGUUUAUAAAUGAUAAUUAAUUAGCUGGAAAAUGUAAAAGCCAUCGCAUUCUGCCAACCAACGGAGUCAUGGAAUAAGUUGGGGAGAUGGGAGGUGAGGUGCAUUAAUAACUAUCAUAUACGUGAUAUCUCGGAGCUUUUCCAUUAGAGAUUGUUUCCAAUGUUAUUUGAUUAUUCCCUUUUUUUUUUUUUUUUGUUGGCCUUGGGUUCAAAAGUUUAGAAGUUUUGGUUUAACAAUGUCAAUGUUAUGAUUUGAUAAUGGCACUUCAUAUCAUGUGUCAUUAUAUAUGAACUACCAUGCCUAGGAGGUAACUUCACUACCUGAACCCAUGGGAACCCUCUGGGCGUGCUUGCAUUUGCAUGCCACUCUUGAUCAUCAUUGCGAGCUUAUGUAUCUGAUAUUGAACUCUACUCAUCAACCUCCAGAUUUAUGAGCUUCCUUCCAAGUUGCAUAAUAGGUGAUGAAAUUAAAGAAACAUGGGGUUGGCAUUUGGUAAUACACGUUGCCAUGAAACAAGC